Molecule: long non-coding RNA, 1293 nt
Organism: Mustela lutreola (European mink)
Lineage: Eukaryota; Metazoa; Chordata; Mammalia; Carnivora; Mustelidae
Exons: 3
Source: RefSeq, a predicted model, not a curated record
UAAAAGAGCAGAAGGUGCUACGUGGGGUGAGCCUGACGGAAGCCAACAGUGUUUGCAAAACACCACGCAGCAGCGGGGACACCAAGAGGUGUAGACACUCAGGGAUGGGGGGCAGGGGAAGCAAAUCCAUUCGCUUUCCUUCGGGUGCAAGGGAACCUACAGGUGUUCUUGGUCAAGCAAAGUGAUGAAACAACUUUGUCUUGAUAUGAAAGAGGAAUGCAGACCAUCCUAACGGGUACGUUUUUAUCUUAGAGCACAGGUGCAUUUAGAAACUGGCCUGCGAGGAGAUCCCUGGGCUUGGGCAGACAGGCUGGGGCAGCAGAGGUCCCCCAGGGACCAAAGUCUCUGGCACGACCCAGGAAGGAGCUGAACAGGUGUCUUUGUUGGUGACUGGCAACACACGCAGUGGCCACGGGCCAGCCAGAGUGUGGCGUGGACCUCAGGCCAAAAGGGUCUCCAUGCCAGUGCAUUGGAGCAACGUGCGGAUUUUCCUGAAGGUCCUACAAGUCUUUGGUCAUGCAUCCCUGGUGCCCGAUGGCAAAGACCCAGCUGGGAAAGGGCCGAUGUUGCCAGUACCCGUUGUGAGUCAUUCUGCGCCUCUUAAAAGUGACUGCCCAGCAGAGCUUUACAGAAGAGGGAAAGACUCCCCGACCUUGUUUCCUCUGGAAGGAUGAAGACCACCAGUCUACAGAAGACGGUGCACAUCUUCAGACAGUUGACCUCAGAGACCACCUUCCAGGUCUACUGCAGCUCUACUGUGUCAAUAGCAUCUAAAAGUCUCAACCACCCAUAGCAAGAGUGUUUCCUGUGAUAGGGGUUUGAAGAAGCUCAGAUAAGUCAUGUUUUUUUUUUUUUUUUUUUUUUUAAACCUGGUCCGUUGAGAUAAGCAAUUCCGCAUUUUCUCUUUGUUGAGGUUAAUGUAGAGCAUGAAAUCAUCCAUAAUAUCUGGCUUGCUAAUAACAUGUAGCAUGGGGGCCGCUGGGGGCAAGGGAAGAUUUCAGAGGAGGGUGUAGGUCUUGGGAAUGCCGAGGCCACCUGACCACUCUGCCAUAGGAAUGCCAUGGGAAUUUGCCUACCCCGAAGCUUUCUUAGCCCAAACAGCUGCCCUGUGGUCUGAGAGAUGUAUGCAUUGUCCCCUAAGCUGUGUUUAGCAGGACUCAUAGAACACACAGGUCAGCGGGUUGGAUCGUCCCUGUAAUUGGACUCUUCUAUUUUCUGUAAGACUCCUUGCCACACAUCACUUGCUUGAGAAACAGUGAUAAAGAUGUUUGAUUAUCCUCAAGCAUCAAUAAA